GCAAGUCGAACGCUCUCUUCGGAGAGAGUGGCGAACGGGUGAGUAACACGUAGGUUACCUGCCCUCUGGUGGGGGAUAACCGAGGGAAACCUCGGCUAAUACCGCAUAUGGCCUUCGGGUCAAAGCCUUCGGGCGCCAGGGUAUGGGCCUGCGUCCCAUUAUUUAAUCCUAGUUGGUGGGGUAACGGCCUACCAAGGGUACGAUGGGUAGCUGGUCUGAGAGGAUGAUC
Molecule: ribosomal RNA, 229 nt
Filed under: uncultured bacterium
Lineage: Bacteria
Description: partial 16S ribosomal RNA
Rfam family: Bacterial small subunit ribosomal RNA
Source: RNAcentral